CCUAUUCCUCCUUCACCUUCUGGCAUGAUUGAAAGCUCCCUGGGCCUUCACCAGAAGCUGAGUAGAUGCCAGCACCAUACUGCCUCUCAAGUCCACAGAACUCUGAGCCAAUUAAACAUCUUUACAAAUUACCCAGUCUCAGAUGCAGAGCUAGUUAUUUAUAAGCAAAUAAAAUCAAUUGUGUCUGAAAUGUCAAUAAUGUAUAAAUAAGCAUGUUUCUAAAUUUAAUUGUUAACUUUUAUAAGAUGAAUGGUAGCAACAACAAUGUGAUCUGUUAUUUAUUCUUCCUGAGUCAAACUAAAUAUUUUACAUAAAUCAGCCCCUUCUGGAUAAUAUUUACAUUAUACUACAAAUAUUGACAAUGACUAGAAUUUAAUAUUUUAAAAAUACUCAUCCAAACAUACAAAUGCAGGGAUGGGUGGUUAUAACUGGAUCAGUAGUUGUGUCACUCCAAAUCACAAAUCUCUUGUUUUCCCUCUUGCUAAUCUCUACUAUCCUCCCUCUUUAACCCAUGGCUAUGAAAAAUAACAAAAGGAGUAGUUCAAAUCUUCAGAUAGUUCUUUCUGGUUUCCUUGUAGCUAUAUAUUUUAAUUUGCCUCAGACUUCUCCAAAUCAGUCUAAGGAAACACAAAGUGAUAUAAGUACUACAUAGAUUAGAUUUAGAUAUAGAGGUAUAAUCUUUUCCCCCUACAGAACUCCAAACAUGCUAUUCUCCAUUUAGGAAUGUAAAGCAACCCACAAUCGUCUGAAGAAAGAUACAGAACUCAAGAAUUCAUAUAGUCAAAAGCUGGACAGAUCUGGAUUCAAAUCUGAUUAACUGUGAGACCUUGGGCAGCUGUUGAAAUUCUGCAUAUCAGUCAGAGGUUGGUUAGAA
RNAcentral lists this long non-coding RNA (874 nucleotides) under Homo sapiens (human). RNAcentral describes it as "non-protein coding lnc-RPP30-10:3". The record is from RNAcentral. Lineage: Eukaryota; Metazoa; Chordata; Mammalia; Primates; Hominidae.